ACUUUAUUUAUUCUGUACUAAAGUAAAAACAAUCAAUAAGAGCAAUAAAGUAUAAAGAAAAGCGUCGCCAUUCGAUUCAUGAGUUUAAUAAAUUUUAAAUAAACUGAUAUACUCUAACCUUGCUUUGGGCAACGUGGCCAUAGAUAAUAUGUUCCGGGUAUCAAAAGGAGUGCCAAAAAUGAAAGCAGGAAAUAGAAAAACGUCCCUCCACUUUCGUCAUAUUGAAAUUUCUGUCCGCUCAUAGCUCAUUAAGUACAAAUAUUUAAAUUAAUCGAGUUAUACUUUGAAUUCACGGUUCCAUCAUGUACAUCAUUAAAGUGUAACAUUUAUCUUCGUCAAGAGUGCCAACUCAGCAUAGACCGCGGAUGAAUAAUUUUAAGUCCGGCAUACAAUAGACGUUCUCGGUAACGUUGACGAUUCACCAAAAAUGAGUAUACUUGUCAUUCUUUCUACCAGUUUUCACCGUUAUUUUUCACUCCCUCUUCUUCUUUUCAUUCCUUUCCAUUUUUUAAGCUCUCACUCUCUCACUCACUCUCUCUCUCUCUCUCUCUCUCUCUCUCUUUCUCUCUCUCUCUCUCUCUUUCUCUCUCUCUCUCUCUCUCUCUCUCUCUCUCUCUCUCUCUCCAACUAAAUUGUUAUAUUAGUAAUUACGAAGCUCGUUCUUCCUUCCUAUUAAUAAGUUUCUUUUUUAUUACAAUAAAUAAUAAUCUAUCUUUCUUCGUUAAUACUAAGCCAAUAAUAGUAUAUAUGUUAGUACUAUUGAAAAGACAAAACUCUUGUACGUAUUUCUUAAUUUAAAAUAUAGUUAGGAAAAUAUACUUACUUAAAUUGAUGACGUAGAUUAAUUAAUUAAGAAGAAUGCACAUCUAAAUAAUAAUUAUUUUAAGACGAGCAUAAACUAUAUUUUAUUGUUUUAAAACACAUUCGCAGCAAAUACGUUAAAAGUCAUAAAAACAAUAAUUAUAUAUACGAAGUAUUAAAAUUUUUAAUAUAGAAAAUACUAUAUUAUUAUGUAUUAUACUAAUAUUUAUCAAGGCUGUAAAAACAAUCACAGUAUUAAAAAAACUAAUAUUUCUUUCAAGAUAUUUAUUCUGAUUUAUUUAGAAUUUAUAUAAUAUCAGAUUUUGUCAAUACUCCCAAACUCUAAUAUUAAAAACUCGCACAUGGAAAAUCAGGCAACGCAAUAAUAUGUGGAUAUAUCUUUACAUGGUAUAUAAUAUGUGCAAUAUUAUGUAUCUACUAAUGUAUACAUAUAUAUUAAGGUUAUAUUAAAUCUGUAAGAACAGUCGUCACUAUAUUAGAAAACUGCAAUAUCGACAUAUGUAUUCUUUUCGCCAACCAAUACGUUUAUUACAGAAGUUUAUUUAGAACUUGUAUCAUAAACAACAUCAUUAUAGCGUUCCAUGCUGACAGUUGCAUACAGCAGAAUAAGCAGUUUAAUAAGCACUGCCGAUAGCAAAAGAUUUCUGCUGGAUGUAUUUUUUCAAUUAUAUGUUUAAAGCAAGUGAUAAAUUUUAAUCGCUAAAAUGAACUUUUGCGGAAAAGAGAAGAAAAUGAUUAGAAAAAUAUUACGUGACUGCGAACGUCACUGAUAACGAUCAGAAUCUUGUUUCGGAAGAAUUCGAUGUUGAAACAGACUCUUUUAGCGCCGAUAGUGAGGUAACUCAACGCAGGAAGAAGGCAACUCAACGCGUUUGAUAGUGUCAUAUGAGGAGACACUAGAAAAUAUCGAUGAUUCUGCUGAUGACGAUGGUGCAAGUUGUUCACCAAUAACGAAAGAUAAUGAGAGGAUUAUCGCCGAUGACGAUAUGUGGUAUGAUAAUAAAGAGAAAUUGAUUGAAUUUGCAUUUAACGAUGGUGAAUGCAACAUUAAAAUGAAUGCUGAUAAGUAUUCUAGUGCGAAAGAUAUUUUUGAUCAGCUGUUCUCAAGAAAUAUAAUUGAGACACUUGUUAGUUGCACAAAUGAAUAUGGGAAACAUUUAUUUGAAACCAAGCACUCUAGUAAUUUUGUUUUACGAUUGAUGCAACCAUGUUUGGGUAAAGGGCAUUAUCUCUUUAUGGACAAUUUUUACAACAGUAUCGAGCUGUCAAGAGCUGCUAACAUAUAAAACACACACGACCGGAACGCUUUAUUCUAACAGAAAAGGUAAUCCGAAAGAAGAGAGAUCAAAGAAGUUAAAAAAGGGCGAACAUCGAAAUGGCGGGAUAAAUGGAACGUUCUUUUUAUAACAACAAAUUAUCAUCCCGAAAUGGUGGAAGUUACCAACAAAUUUGGACAAAAAAAAGAAUAAACCAAAUGAUAUAGCUGAAUAUAAUUUGAAUAUGUCAGGAGUUGACAGUGUGAUCAAAUGAUUUCCUAUUAUUUUUAUACCAUCAUCGAUUUUCGAUAAGAUGGUAUAAAAAACUUAUUUUUCAUCUUUUAGACCUCUGUGUUUGGAAUUCCUACUUCAUCUAUCAAUAGUUUCAUAAAUCAACGACAUUCCUACAAUUUAGAGAUUUGCUGCUACAAUCAUUGAUCACAUUACCUAAUACUGAGAUUUCUGGAAAGAAUUUAGUGGCAUUAACAUCUACGCGUGCUCGACCGAAACAAAUAAAUUCAUUAUCAUUGACAUCCAUAGGUUCUACACAAUAACAUUUCUUGGAAAAGAUCCCUCAACCUAUUGAUUUUCAACGUAAAACUUAUUUUCUACAUUGCAGACAAUGUUUGGCUAACAACAUUAGAAAAGAGACGUCAUAUAGAUGUAAAAUUUGUCCGCAAAACCCACCAUUAUGUCCAGAAUGCUUCGAAUCCUUUAAUUUACAGUAAAGCUGAUUCCUAUAUAAUGCUUUUUCUUGAACCAUUUUUGAAUUAGUAAAGCAAAUAAAAAGUAUAGUCGUCACAACGGUCAUAGCCGCCAUUUGCUUUGGGAAGAGAAAAAAUGUGAUAAGUAAAUGACAGUUACAACCGUUGAGAGUUUUCAAGAAAAAACUGUGACAAAAUGUGAUAAUUUUCGCUUCCAAAUAUACGAAUGACGCUCAAUUUUAUAUGGCAGUCAUGAACAAUUGAAAGAAAAAAAAGUGUUUCUGAGCACGAUCGUCAAAUUAAAAGUGUGCGGCAACGUGUUAAUUAUUAAUGAUCGAUAUUCAUAAGCAAAGUUCUGUGUGUGUUCUUAAAAAAGUUAUUUAAAAUAAUGAUUCGAAGAAUUUCUCUAAUAUAUUUCUGUCGAGAUCAUUAGAUAAAAGUAGUUUUUUCAUUGUAAAAACAAUAAAAAGUUUUAAAUUGAAAUAAUUAAAUCCUUAUUUGCUCAAAAACUUCAUGUUGAGGAAUGUUUUUUGUAUAAAAAGUUAGCAAAGUUUAAUAACUUAGUAAUGAUUAAUGAAGGAUGAUAAAAAGCUCAAUAAGUUUAAAAGAAGCAAAUGCCUUUCAUCUACAUAUAUCGACAUUAACUACGUUAGUGCACCUCGAACGACGCACCCAGGACGAGCGUGGAAUGGGAACUAGUGCAACAACGUGGUGACCGUCAACUGGCUUUAAAUUGUAUUACUAUUCUAUUGUAUAGAAAAUAUUAUAAGAUAUGAUAUUUAGGAGAUAAUGGAUAUAAAAAAUUUAUAGAAUAUAAAAAAUAUCGAUUAAUUCUUUGUUUAGGUUCGAAAUUUAAUGUGAAAUAAUAAUAUAUAUAGUCAGUAAAAGGAAAUAAAAAUAAUAAUAGAAAAGAGUAGAUAUAGUGACUGUUACUUUGUAUACUUAGCACCCUCUGUCUUCUCAGAUAAAUGCCUGCCAGGACUUACACGAAACGUCCACGCGGUUUGCUUAUGAUUAAAAGAAAUAAAAAGAAAAAAUUCACUUAUUUUAAAAAGCUUCGCUAUCCUACACUUAAGUAUUUGAUAAAAUCCGUUCUGAAAUACAUAUUUACUUUUUGGAUUAUUCUAUACUUCUAGAAAUUACUGUUAUGAAUAAACUAACAUUCGAUAUCAACUAAGCACUGAAUAAUAAUGCUUGCAUUACUAGGAUGUGUUUAGUGAACUUAUAGAAAAUAUUUGAUACCAUAUAGCUAAACGCCCUGAUAUUUAUAUUACAUAAAAAAAUUUCCCACUAAUACAUACUUUUUACAGCACUAAUUAAUUUUUUCUAAAUACAAACCGAGAAAAAAAUCAACAGAUACAGGAAGCUAUGGGCUAAAUAUGAAUACUUUUAUAAAUAUGUAAACCGUUAGAAAAGAUAAUUUUAAAAUAGAAUUCAAUAAACAUGAAACAAUCGAACAUAUUAGUAUAAAUCGUCAAUUUAGUUCGAGAGAGACACAUAAUAAUAUAUGGUUUAAUAGUUUAACAAGCAAGGAAAAUAGUUAAUGACAUUAGCAUAACCAAAGAAAUAUAAUUAUAUUUUUAUUACUAAACAUUCAGAAAUUCUUUAGAUCGACGAAUUAAUAUAUACGUAUAAAAUAAUAAGAUAUAAAUGUACUCAUUUGUAAGAUUAAUUUACUCAUAUUUAAAUAAUAAAUAUUAAAAAGUCGUGAAAAAAUCAAGUAAACGCAAAAUAACGAUAGAAGUCCAUCGAUAGGACCAAAGCUAUUUAAUAUAUAUAUAUUAUAUGCCGGAUUCAGAUAUAACCAGGAAGCAAUUUGUCUUUGUCUUCAAAUACACUGAAUAAUACCGAAUUAUAACAAAAUGACUAAAUAUUAUAUAAAAAAAAUCAAUAUCUUUUCAUAAGAAAAGAAAACUAAAUUGAGCCAACUAAGAAAGAACUAUAUAGUACUUACUAUUAUUGUUAUAUAACUAGUGAGUAGAUCUUUAUUGUUACACAGAUUUUUGUACAAUUUAUUUUAUAUUAUCAAAUAAACUUACGUAUAUAGUAUAAGAUUCUUAUUUAAUUACCAAAGUCAAACGACGGAGAAGAAAAAGUUCUCUGCAGUCUUGAUAGAUUUUAAUGAUAACAGCCUUUUUAUAGAUUUUUUUUCAAUUUAAUACAUUGUACCUUUAAGAAUAGUUAUUAAAAUCAAAUAGUUCCUAUUGUAGGAUUCAAGUGAGGAUACAUGAGAAUAACGAAAUUUUCAUUAGUAAGAAACACUUUCGAGUAGUUUUACUCUCAAGUAGAUGGAUGCCUUUAAUAUAGAACUGACACAAAUUAAAUAUUAACCCUUUGUAUUUUUAAGAUUAACUUUUAGGCAUUUAAAGAUGUUCUAUCUCUGUAACCAGCAUCACUAGUCUCAUCGUUAUUUUA
Vespa velutina is the source of this 5197-nucleotide long non-coding RNA. RefSeq lists it as uncharacterized. The transcript has 5 exons. NCBI's taxonomy places the organism in Eukaryota, Metazoa, Arthropoda, Insecta, Hymenoptera, Vespidae. The record is from RefSeq and is a predicted model, not a curated record.